Marmota monax (woodchuck) is the source of this 530-nucleotide long non-coding RNA. RefSeq lists it as uncharacterized. Lineage: Eukaryota; Metazoa; Chordata; Mammalia; Rodentia; Sciuridae. The record is from RefSeq and is a predicted model, not a curated record. The transcript has 2 exons.
CACCACUGUGCACACAAGAGACCCGGCUUCCCACAGUCUGCUCCCAGCCAGGCAAGGAAGGCAGCCCGGAUGCUCAGGAGGGGCCGUUCUGCAAGAUCCAGGACUCCUCGGGUAGAUUCCCGGCGUACACUUGAUUCACCUCGUAACCACAGACCACCCUCUUCUCAGCAUGAGUGACAUUUUGAUUUGUAGGCAGCUUUGGGACAACCACAAGGCUACGCCUCAAAGGCCUCCAAGUUGGGGAGUGUGACUGACCAGGACCCAGCAGCGGGCCUUGAGCUCUACCCAGUGUUGUGCUGAGACACUGCCUCUCAAGGUGCCAGGUGCCAGGCACAGAGGAGGGCGCCAGGGCUGCUGGGGUGGCCUUGCUGGGCCUUUGUUUGACUUCACAGUAGUGCAGGGCUCUCCUGCCCAACCUUUCCUCCAUCCCUUCGUCACCUCGGGUCAUAUUUUCCUGGUGGUGCAAUGGAUCUCCAGGUCUUACCCCCGUUUCUCCUCAUUUCCCCCCAAUAAAAUCCUUGCCCAUUUAA